ACUGAUUGAUGGUGCUUGCACCUGAUUGACGAUGGAUCACCAGUGAGUGGCGGACGGGUGAGUAACACGUAGGUAACCUGCCCCGGAGCGGGGGAUAACAUUUGGAAACAGAUGCUAAUACCGCAUAACAACAAAAGCCACAUGGCUUUUGUUUGAAAGAUGGCUUUGGCUAUCACUCUGGGAUGGACCUGCGGUGCAUUAGCUAGUUGGUAAGGUAACGGCUUACCAAGGCGAUGAUGCAUAGCCGAGUUGAGAGACUGAUCGGCCACAAUGGAACUGAGACACGGUCCAUACUCCUACGGGAGGCAGCAGUAGGGAAUCUUCCACAAUGGGCGCAAG
This 339-nucleotide ribosomal RNA is filed under the name Limosilactobacillus reuteri. Its description in RNAcentral is "bacterial SSU rRNA". It matches the Rfam family "Bacterial small subunit ribosomal RNA", at positions 47 to 381 of the family's 1533-position model. Lineage: Bacteria; Bacillati; Bacillota; Bacilli; Lactobacillales; Lactobacillaceae. The record is from RNAcentral.